UACGGGGGGGGCAAGCGUUGUUCGGAAUUACUGGGCGUAAAGGGCUCGUAGGCGGCCAACUAAGUCGGACGUGAAAUCCCCAGGCUCAACCUGGGAACUGCGUCUGAUACUGGAUGGCUUGAGGUUGGGAGAGGGAUGCGGAAUUCCAGGUGUAGCGGUGAAAUGCGUAGAUAUCUGGAGGAACACCGGUGGCGAAGGCGGCAUCCUGGACCAAUUCUGACGCUGAGGAGCGAAAGCCAGGGGAGCAAACGGG
Molecule: ribosomal RNA, 253 nt
Filed under: uncultured bacterium
Lineage: Bacteria
Description: partial 16S ribosomal RNA
Rfam family: Bacterial small subunit ribosomal RNA
Source: RNAcentral